RNAcentral lists this ribosomal RNA (253 nucleotides) under uncultured bacterium. Its description in RNAcentral is "partial 16S ribosomal RNA". It matches the Rfam family "Bacterial small subunit ribosomal RNA", at positions 524 to 776 of the family's 1533-position model. The record is from RNAcentral.
UACGUAGGGGGCUAGCGUUGUCCGGAAUCAUUGGGCGUAAAGCGCGCGUAGGCGGCCCGGUAAGUCCGCUGUAAAAGUCAAAGGCUCAACCUUUGAAUGUCAGUGGAUACUGCCGGGCUAGAGUCCGGAAGAGGCGAGUGGAACUCCUGGUGUAGCGGUGGAAUGCGCAGAUAUCAGGAAGAACAUCGGUGGCGAAGGCGCUCUGCUGGACCAUAACUGACACUCAGGGACGAAAGCUAGGGGAGCGAAUGGG